UCAACAAUAUAUAACAUUUUCUCAAAAACCCGCAACGACCACCUUCCGUGUGAUAUUCCUAAAUACACUUGACCUGACUCACUGUCACAAGUUCCUCAUACUUAUUUACCUUUACUACUUUCAAAUAAUGACUCACUUCUGAUUUGCUAAUCACUCGUAAAGAUUUACUUUACCAAUUCAGCUAGAACAUAACAGAUUUUUCUAUCUUCGGUAAAUGCACCUAACCAAUAGCAGAAGAUCCUAUUUUGCAUUUCCACCAAUUAGUCAAGUCACACUUCCGUCGUGUAAAUAUUUUGUUAAUUGCAAUAGUUUAAGAGAGCAUAUCUCCAAUUCACAUUCAGAUGCUAAUGCGCAGGAGGGCAAUUCUCUAAGGCUAAUUUACAUUUUAUCACGAGUAAGUUUUAACCUAUAAAAGCCAAAUGCAUUACAAAAUUAUUAGACAAAGCUCAACUUAACUCUUUGUGAAGAAGUUGUAUUCGGAGUAGGAGUUCUUUAUACCUCACAAAUAAUAACAAAUUCGUGCCAAAAUGUUGUUUAAAGUUGCUUUUAAGCUGAUUUGGUUGUUUUGUUUUUUGAUAUUGGUUAAUGGAUAUCCAUAUCCGCUAAGUGAAUUUGAAACCGAUUCAUCAAAUGGAGGAGAAAGUCUCAGAGUUCAACUACUGACACGCCCUCUGGAGGAAAACUCAGAUUUUGUACUAACGACUGCACUGUUGGGAAACAAGGUGUCUUCAGAUGAUCUCGGAUAUGAUGAAAACCCUAACGACUUGGAGUUGGCAGAAGUCAAUGUGUUUAGACCAGUUUUUCGAUAUCGUGUAUCAGUGUCGAAAAAAGUUAAAGGUCCGCAAUUUUAGUGAAGCAAACAAGUAUUUUUAGUGUAAUUUGUAAAAAAAAAAAAAAAACAAAAA
Long non-coding RNA from Episyrphus balteatus (marmalade hoverfly), 905 nucleotides. RefSeq lists it as uncharacterized. The transcript is spliced from 2 exons. NCBI's taxonomy places the organism in Eukaryota, Metazoa, Arthropoda, Insecta, Diptera, Syrphidae. The record is from RefSeq and is a predicted model, not a curated record.